This is a non-coding RNA of Morus notabilis, 119 nucleotides long. The record is from Rfam. Lineage: Eukaryota; Viridiplantae; Streptophyta; Magnoliopsida; Rosales; Moraceae.
AGAAGAAUGACAGUGCGAUUCUCCUUUGGCAGAGCGUGUAACAAUAUUGCCACAAUAUUAAUAUUAUUACUAAUUUGGCACUACUUUCUGCCAAAGGAGAAUUGCCCUGCCAUUCAAUG